This 648-nucleotide ribosomal RNA is filed under the name uncultured prokaryote. RNAcentral's name for it is "bacterial SSU rRNA". It matches the Rfam family "Bacterial small subunit ribosomal RNA", at positions 834 to 1482 of the family's 1533-position model. The record is from RNAcentral.
GAGGCGUGGCUUCCGGAGCUAACGCGUUAAGUCGACCGCCUGGGGAGUACGGCCGCAAGGUUAAAACUCAAAUGAAUUGACGGGGGCCCGCACAAGCGGUGGAGCAUGUGGUUUAAUUCGAUGCAACGCGAAGAACCUUACCUACUCUUGACAUCCACGGAACUUGCCAGAGAUGGCUUGGUGCCUUCGGGAACCGUGAGACAGGUGCUGCAUGGCUGUCGUCAGCUCGUGUUGUGAAAUGUUGGGUUAAGUCCCGCAACGAGCGCAACCCUUAUCCUUUGUUGCCAGCACUUCGGGUGGGAACUCAAAGGAGACUGCCGGUGAUAAACCGGAGGAAGGUGGGGAUGACGUCAAGUCAUCAUGGCCCUUACGAGUAGGGCUACACACGUGCUACAAUGGCGUAUACAAAGAGAAGCAAACUCGCGAGAGCCAGCGGACCUCAUAAAGUACGUCGUAGUCCGGAUUGGAGUCUGCAACUCGACUCCAUGAAGUCGGAAUCGCUAGUAAUCGUAGAUCAGAAUGCUACGGUGAAUACGUUCCCGGGCCUUGUACACACCGCCCGUCACACCAUGGGAGUGGGUUGCAAAAGAAGUAGGUAGCUUAACCUUCGGGAGGGCGCUUACCACUUUGUGAUUCAUGACUGGGGUG